GAUUGGUCGAAAAGUCCAGGGAGCGGGUAGUUCUAUUAGCAGAAUAACCAAUGGGAUAGGCUAAUCGCCAUGAGGACGGUGAUUGGCAUAUCUCUUAGCCAUUCGGUACCUCUCUCUCCCUGAGGCUCCAGGGGGCGCUCUGGCUCGCCGUGGUUGCCAUAGCAGCCGUCAUGGCGGUAGGCCUGCCGCUGGGCCGCCCUUCCCCGCGCUGGGGUGAGCGUGUGUGGUGUGUGUGCGGCCACGCGCUGGCAGCACGCCGCCGUGAGGGCGCGUUAUGGCCGCUGUUCCCCGAGGCUCGGGCAGAAACAGCCGGGUGUGGGGGCAAACCACGUGGCAAGAGAGGUGGCUGUGAGGACAUCACCGCAGGAAGGUGACACAAGUUUACACUCAAGCUUAGGAAAGCGCUCGGGAACUGCUUAAUUAGCAUCGGUGUUGCAAAAUGCCAGAGGUCAGGGUUGCGACUGAGCGGCUGGAGCUGGAGGAUAUAUGUAAUUCCAGCUGUUGCUCAUCACUUCCUGCUGCGUCACACCUUUCUUUCCAGCGCACAGUCCUGCUCAGAAAAACCUGCUUCCAUCACGGUGACAAGCAGCUAGGAUGACAGCUUUAUUACUGCCUGAAAUUGCCAAGACAGAAAGCAGCCAGGAAAACUGACACUUAUUUUCCACAGCGGCUUUAACACUUAGAGCGUAUGAAUAUUAUGUUAACAGUAUCAUCCCUCUUCUAAUCAGCCUCAUUCAUGAAGACGUGCAGGCUUCUUUCAGAAAGAGAUCACACCAUAAAUUGUUGAAACUGCUCCCUUCAGAUCAUGUGAAAUAUCUGUCCAGCAGUUUUGUUAAUUGCCGUGAGAUCUUCUACUGGUUUAUGCGAAGAAAAGACAAAGAAUACAGAUUUAAGGCUUUUUCCUUCUGCUGCCGGUAUAAUGAUUUCCAAGCGCUCAUUUUGCCUCCCAACAUAAAACCCCUCUGAUUCUGUGUAACAUCAUCUCAAAGCACGCACUUUUAACAGGAGAUAAGGAUGAAGUCAGCCUGGCUGCUGUCAGCUAUGGGAACGAGACAGGAUGUGGCAGGAGGUUAUCCUCGUUUUACAAAAAUACCCUGCUCUGCUAUAUUAAUCAGUUCUGACAGCAGAAUAAAUGAUGUAUUCCUUACAUAUGUUACAUCCCAUUAACACCAAUGUUUGUUGUUUGAAGUACCUAGAAUUUUUUACCUCAAGAUUGGGUAGUAUUUAAAAGUAAUGUGUCAGAUAGAGUCAUUGGAAAGUAGCUCUCUGCAGUUCUUGUGCAACUGAGCUAAUAAGAGAAUGUCACUCAAGCUUGUGUGUUAGUGCUAUUCUUGUUAAUCUCAAGGGUCUCCCUUUCAUGAUAACAAAAAUGCCGAACUUUCUCUGGUGCUCCUUGGAGUAUUCAAGGGUUCCUGCUCUGCAUGAGAUGUGUUUUGGCAGGCAACAGAUCCAGGUUAUAAUGAAAUGAUCCUUUGAUUGUCCAGAAUCUUUCAGGCACGUGUUUAACUAAGGGAAAUGAAAUUAGAAUGUCUGGGUCAAAUCAUCAGUAAGAUUUUAAAAGAUAUGUAUGUCAUCUGUGUUUCUGCAGUAGUGCUGCUUUGACCUGUACAGAGGUUUAAAUGUCUUCCUGCACGCUGGCCUGUUUAAAUUCAGAAUUUUGAGAUAUUGGUGUCAGCUUUCUAAUAAAACCUUCCUCAUUACUGGACUUC
Molecule: long non-coding RNA, 1709 nt
Organism: Numida meleagris (helmeted guineafowl)
Lineage: Eukaryota; Metazoa; Chordata; Aves; Galliformes; Numididae
Exons: 2
Source: RefSeq, a predicted model, not a curated record